UGGAAACGUGCCACCCACAGGUCUUGCUCUACUCCAGAAAACCAUCACUUUGAGCUCCUUCAACCCCACCUGCGUUGGGCACUGCCCAUUCUUUGUACCCUGCGAUGGCCCCCGUGUCACACGUGGCACUUGUGAAGACUUCUUGACAUAACCGUCUUUCUUCUGAGACCUUGAGCACCCCCUGGACUGCUGGGGUUUGAUUCCUCUUGCGAAUAAAUAAAGUAGGACUUUGUGAAGAUGUUGCUCAAGCCACGUCUGAUGCUCUACGUCAAUUGAUUGUCAUUGGCCUGUUGAGAGGCCGUCUUCAGGAAACCAUUUGCACUCUAUUGGAUUGGGGAAAUGAUGUCCAACCUAAAUCAAGAGUUAACUAUGGAGAAGGAAACCAUUAUUAAACUCUAAGAAGAAUUAUGCCAAAACAAAGAACUCUACAACUUUAAGAGACUUCCCCUAAAGGUAACUGUCUCUCAUUUUAUUUUUUUUCCCCCUAAAGGUAAUAUUAGUGGCCAUGCUC
This 511-nucleotide long non-coding RNA is filed under the name Canis lupus familiaris (dog). RNAcentral describes it as "lncRNA (ENSCAFG00845024901.1)". The record is from RNAcentral. Lineage: Eukaryota; Metazoa; Chordata; Mammalia; Carnivora; Canidae.